CGUGGUAGUGAUCAAGCGGGAGACCGAAAAUCCAAUCAAAGAUAGAUCAUCCAAGAUAGUGAUCAAAAUUAAUCUGACGAUAGAUAAUGUGAUUGAUCAAUCACGGAUGAUCUAUUGAUAAUUUAAAAAGUGAUAAAAAAGUGAACAAAAAUUUUGUUACAUUUAAAAUAUAAAUAAACACACUUUUAUUUAUUAUUGCUUCCUACCAAUUUUACUACAUAAAGCUGAACUAAAUCCUAGUUUUAAUGAUUGUUUUUCCAUUAAAUUUAAUAAAGAAAAUACUAGAAAUGAUUUAUUUUCCAACAUUGCAACUUAAAUAAUUUAAAUGUCAUUGAAAACAAAUGCCAGAAAUUGUUAUCAUAAAUUGUUUUCAGUUCGCGGAGUGUGUUCAAUUCGCCUGUGUUCAGUUCGCGGAGAGGGCAUAUUUAGAAUAUAAAAGACAAACAACAACUGCUUAAGAGCAAAAUCGUGGAUUAAUGUUCACUUUCUUUUAUUAAUGACUAAGUUGGAGUCUGUUAAUAAGAAUAUCAUAAUCAUUAUAACAUAUCCAAAAAUUCAAAUUUAAAAUUACUAUGCGAAGGGUCAUGUCCAAAUUUUUGAAAAAUUUGUGCGAAGGAAACCGAUGGAAAUUAUAUUGCCUUGGUGGGGAGCUUCCCGGAAACGAAAGUCUUCCGGUUCCGGGGGAAGUAUGGUUGCAAAGCUGAAACUUAAAGGAAUUGACGGAAGGGCACCACCAGGAGUGGAGCCUGCGGCUUAAUUUGACUCAACACGGGGAAACUCACCCGGCCCGGACACUGUGAGGAUUGACAGAUUGAUAGCUUUUUCAUGAUUCAGUGGAUGGUGGUGCAUGGCCGUUCUUAGUUCGUGGAGUGAUUUGUCUGGUUUAUUCCGAUAACGAGCGAGACUCUAACCUACUAAAUAGCUGGUACAUACUCUUAGUGUAUACAGCUUCUUAGAGGGAUUUGCGUGUUCAGCCGAAAGAAAUGAGCAAUAACAGGUCUGUGAUGCCCUUAGAUGUCCGGGGCUGCACGCGCGCUACACUGGCAAAAUCAACGUGCUUGUCCUACCCGAAGGGGGCGGGUAAACCAUUGAAAAUUUGCCGUGAUUGGGAUCGGAAAUUGCAAUUAUUUUCCGUGAACGAGGAAUUCCAAGUAAGUGCGAGUCAUCAGCUCGCGUUGAUUACGUCCCUGCCCUUUGUACACACCGCCCGUCGCUGCCGGGACUGAGCCAUUUCGAGAAAUUUGGGGACCGUUGAUUUAAUUUUUCUAAAUUACUUUGAUGGAAACCAAUUUAAUCGCAGUGGCUUGAACCGGGCAAAAGUCGUAACAAGGUAGCUGUAGGUGAACCUGCUGCUG
This 1355-nucleotide ribosomal RNA is filed under the name Meloidogyne arenaria. RNAcentral's name for it is "SSU rRNA". The stretch from base 681 to 1355 matches the Rfam family "Eukaryotic small subunit ribosomal RNA", at positions 1117 to 1823 of the family's 1831-position model. Lineage: Eukaryota; Metazoa; Nematoda; Chromadorea; Rhabditida; Meloidogynidae. The record is from RNAcentral.